RNAcentral lists this ribosomal RNA (652 nucleotides) under uncultured bacterium. RNAcentral describes it as "bacterial SSU rRNA". It matches the Rfam family "Bacterial small subunit ribosomal RNA", at positions 232 to 895 of the family's 1533-position model. The record is from RNAcentral.
CGCGGCCUAUCAGCUUGUUGGUGGGGUAAUGGCCUACCAAGGCGACGACGGGUAGCCGGCCUGAGAGGGCGACCGGCCACACUGGGACUGAGACACGGCCCAGACUCCUACGGGAGGCAGCAGUGGGGAAUAUUGCACAAUGGGCGAAAGCCUGAUGCAGCGACGCCGCGUGAGGGAUGACGGCCUUCGGGUUGUAAACCUCUUUCAGCAGGGACGAAGCGUAAGUGACGGUACCUGCAGAAGAAGCGCCGGCCGACUACGUGCCAGCAGCCGCGGUAAGACGUAGGGCGCGAGCGUUGUCCGGAUUUAUUGGGCGUAAAGAGCUCGUAGGCGGCUUGUCGCGUCGACUGUGAAAACCCGCAGCUCAACUGCGGGCCUGCAGUCGAUACGGGCAGGCUAGAGUUCGGUAGGGGAGACUGGAAUUCCUGGUGUAGCGGUGGAAUGCGCAGAUAUCAGGAGGAACACCGGUGGCGAAGGCGGGUCUCUGGGCCGAUACUGACGCUGAGGAGCGAAAGCGUGGGGAGCGAACAGGAUUAGAUACCCUGGUAGUCCACGCUGUAAACGUUGGGCGCUAGGUGUGGGGGACCUCUCCGGUUCUCUGUGCCGCAGCUAACGCAUUAAGCGCCCCGCCUGGGGAGUACAAUCGUCGACC